CCUACGGGGUGCAGCAGUCGAGAAUCAUUCACAAUGGGGGAAACCCUGAUGGUGCGAAGCCGCGUGGGGGAAUGAAGGUCUUCGGAUUGUAAACCCCUGUCAUGAGGGAGCAAAUUAAAAAGAUAGUACCACAAGAGGAAGAGACGGCUAACUCUGUGCGAGCAGCCGCGGUAAUACAGAGGUCGCAAGCGUUGUUCGGAAUCACUGGGCGUAAAGCGUGCGUAGGCGGUUUCGUAAGUCGUGUGUGAAAGGCGCGGGCUCAACCCGCGGACGGCACAUGAUACUGCGAGACUAGAGUAAUGGAGGGGAAAGCGGAAGUCCCGGUGUAGCGGUGAAAGGCGUAGAUAUCAGGAAGAACACUCGUGGCGAAGGCGGGUUCCUGGACAUUAACUGACGCUGAGGCUCGAAGGCCAGGGGAGCGAAAGGGAUUAGAUACCCGAGUAGUC
RNAcentral lists this ribosomal RNA (446 nucleotides) under uncultured bacterium. RNAcentral describes it as "partial 16S ribosomal RNA". It matches the Rfam family "Bacterial small subunit ribosomal RNA", at positions 338 to 795 of the family's 1533-position model. The record is from RNAcentral.